CCUACGGGAGACAGCAGUGGGGAAUAUUGGGCAAUGGGCGCAAGCCUGACCCAGCAACGCCGCGUGAAGGAAGAAGGCUUUCGGGUUGUAAACUUUUUUUCUCAGGGACGAAGCAAGUGACGGUACCUGAGGAAUAAGCCACGGCUAACUACGUGCCAGCAGCCGCGUUAUUACGUAGGUGGCAAGCGUUAUCCGGAUUUAGUGGGUGUAAAGGGCGUGUAGGGGGGAAAGCAAGUCAGAUGUGAAAACCAUGGGCUCAACCUGUGGCCUGCAUGUGAAACUGUUUUUCUUGAGUACUGGGGAGGCAGACGGAAUUCCUAGUGGAGCGGUGAAAUGCGUAGAUAUUAGGAGGAACACCAGUGGCGAAGGCGGUCUGCUGGACAGCAACUGACGCUGAGGCGCGAAAGCGUGGGGAGCAAACAGGAUUAGAUACCCGGGUAGUC
This 443-nucleotide ribosomal RNA is filed under the name uncultured bacterium. RNAcentral's name for it is "partial 16S ribosomal RNA". It matches the Rfam family "Bacterial small subunit ribosomal RNA", at positions 338 to 795 of the family's 1533-position model. The record is from RNAcentral.